GUGGGGAAUCUUGCGCAAUGGGCGAAAGCCUGACGCAGCCAUGCCGCGUGAAUGAUGAAGGUCUUAGGAUUGUAAAAUUCUUUCACCGGGGACGAUAAUGACGGUACCCGGAGAAGAAGCUCCGGCUAACUUCGUGCCAGCAGCCGCGGUAAUACGAAGGGGGCUAGCGUUGCUCGGAAUUACUGGGCGUAAAGGGCGCGUAGGCGGACAGCUUAGUCAGAGGUGAAAGCCCAGGGCUCAACCUUGGAAUUGCCUUUGAUACUGGCUGUCUUGAGUUUGGGAGGGGUGAGUGGAACUCCGAGUGUAGAGGGGAAAUUCGUAGAUAUUCGGAAGAACACCAGUGGCGAAGGCGACUCACUGGCCCAAUACUGACGCUGAGGCGCGAAAGCGUGGGGAGCAAACAGGAUUAGAAACCCCUGUAGUCC
RNAcentral lists this ribosomal RNA (425 nucleotides) under uncultured bacterium. RNAcentral describes it as "partial 16S ribosomal RNA". It matches the Rfam family "Bacterial small subunit ribosomal RNA", at positions 354 to 796 of the family's 1533-position model. The record is from RNAcentral.